ACAUGAAGAGAGUGAAGUGAGGAGUUUCCUGCAGUGUCUGCCUUAUAUCUCACAGCUCAGGGUUUAUCCUGAUAGGUCAGAUCUUCAUGAAGCAGUCAGGUUCUUUGUGAAUCUGUUCUGUGCAGCAGCAGAGAGAGAACAGCAGACAGGAGAGAAGAUACUGGAGCUGUUAUCAUCAGUGUGCACAUAUCAAACAUUCCCUGUUAAUGAGAGAGACAUGGAUGAUGAUGAUUAUCUGGAGUAUCAGUGUGAUUUCCUGCUGGAUCUGUACUCUCAUAUGAAGGACUGUGAGCCUAAAACAGGCUUGAGUGUCCUUCCAUCAUUACAGUCAGUUUUCCAGUCAGCUCCUGCAGUCUGGUCCAUAAAGCUCUCAGAGAGAAAGACCUCCAUCCUCCUGGAAGUGCUGAAACUCCAACCAGAGAAGAAACAA
This is a long non-coding RNA of Oreochromis niloticus (Nile tilapia), 430 nucleotides long. RefSeq lists it as uncharacterized. The transcript has 2 exons. The record is from RefSeq and is a predicted model, not a curated record. NCBI's taxonomy places the organism in Eukaryota, Metazoa, Chordata, Actinopteri, Cichliformes, Cichlidae.